GGCGAGUGAAGCGGCAACAGCUCAAAUUUGAAAUCUGGCCUCUUUGGGGUCCGAGUUGUAAUUUGUAGAGGAUGUUUCGGGCACCGCUCCGGUUUAAAUUUCUUGGAACAGAAUGUCAAAGAGGGUGAGAACCCCGUCUUGGACCGGCAGUAGGGCCCAUGUGAAACUCCUUCGACGAGUCGAGUUGUUUGGGAAUGCAGCUCAAAAUGGGUGGUAAAUUUCAUCUAAAGCUAAAUAUUGGCCAGAGACCGAUAGCGCACAAGUAGAGUGAUCGAAAGAUGAAAAGCACUUUGAAAAGAGAGUUAAACAGUACGUGAAAUUGUUGAAAGGGAAGCGCUUGCAACCAGACUUGCGCGCGGCGGUUCCCCCUUCCUUUUGGUUGGGUUAUUCCGCCGUGUCCAGGCCAACAUCGGUUCUGGGGGUCGGUUAAAGGCCUGGGGAAUGUAUCUACCCUUCGGGCGUAGACUUAUAGCCCCGGGUGUCAUGCGACCUCCCGGGACCGAGGAACGCGCUUCGGCUCGGAUGUUGGCGUAAUGGUUGUCAGCGACCCGUCUUG
Molecule: ribosomal RNA, 556 nt
Filed under: Exophiala dermatitidis
Lineage: Eukaryota; Fungi; Ascomycota; Eurotiomycetes; Chaetothyriales; Herpotrichiellaceae
Description: partial large subunit ribosomal RNA
Rfam family: Eukaryotic large subunit ribosomal RNA
Source: RNAcentral